UUCCGGUUGAUCCUGCCGGACCCGACUGCUAUCGGAUUGAGAUUUAGCCAUGCGAGUCGAACGUUCCCCUGUUGCGGGGAGCGUGGCGUACGGCUCAGUAACACGUAGUCAACCUGCCCUGGAGACAAGGACAACCCCGGGAAACUGGGAUUAAUCCUUGAUAGGUCAUCUCAUCUGGAAGGAGAGAUGGCUUAAAGGGGUACGCGGGCUUCUUCCGCGAAUUCGCUCCAGGAUGGGACUGCGUCCGAUCAGGCUGUUGGCGGGGUAAUGGCCCACCAAACCUGUAACCGGUACGGGCCUUGAGAGAGGUGGCCCGGAGAUGGACACUGAGAGAAGGGUCCAGGUCCUACGGGGCGCAGCAGGCGCGAAACCUUCGCAAUGCGCGAAAGCGUGACGAGGUUAAUCCGAGUGACUCCCGCUGAGGGGGUCUUUUGUCAGCUGUAAAUAGGCAGGCGAAUAAGGGGAGGGCAAGCCUGGUGUCAGCCGCCGCGGUAAUACCAGCUCCUCGAGUGGUCGGGGCGAUUAUUGGGCCUAAAGCAUCCGUAGCCGGUUCCGUAGGUCCUCUGUUAAAUCCAACCGCUCAACGGUUGACCUGCAGAGGAUACCGCGGGACUAGGAGGCGGGAGAGGCGGACGGUACUCCGCGUGUAGGGGUAAAAUCCUUUGAUCCGCGGAAGACCACCAGUGGCGAAGGCGGUCCGCCAGAACGCGCUCGACGGUGAGGGAUGAAAGCUGGGGGAGCGAACCGGAUUAGAUACCCGGGUAGUCCCAGCCGUAAACGAUGCUAGCUAGAUGAUUCAUUCGCAAGUCGCGAAUGAAGUGUCGCAGGGAAGCCGUUAAGCUAGCCGCCUGGGGAGUACGGUCGCAAGACUGAAACUUAAAGGAAUGGCGGGGGAGCA
RNAcentral lists this ribosomal RNA (898 nucleotides) under uncultured archaeon. RNAcentral describes it as "bacterial SSU rRNA". It matches the Rfam family "Archaeal small subunit ribosomal RNA", at positions 1 to 878 of the family's 1478-position model. The record is from RNAcentral.